AGUGAACGCUGGCGGUAGGCCUAACACAUGCAAGUCGAACGGCAGCACAGUAAGAGCUUGCUCUUACGGGUGGCGAGUGGCGGACGGGUGAGGAAUACAUCGGAAUCUACUUUUUCGUGGGGGAUAACGUAGGGAAACUUACGCUAAUACCGCAUACGACCUACGGGUGAAAGCAGGGGAUCUUCGGACCUUGCGCGAUUGAAUGAGCCGAUGUCGGAUUAGCUAGUUGGCGGGGUAAAGGCCCACCAAGGCGACGAUCCGUAGCUGGUCUGAGAGGAUGAUCAGCCACACUGGAAAUGAGACACGGUCCAGGCUCCGACGGGAGGCAGCAGGGGGGAAUAUUGGACAAUGGGCGCAAGCCUGAUCCAGCCAUACCGCGUGGGUGAAGAAGGCCUUCGGGUUGUAAAGCCCUUUUGUUGGGAAAGAAAAGCAGCAGGUUAAUACCCCGCUGUUCUGACGGUACCCAAAGAAUAAGCACCGGCUAACUGCGU
This 491-nucleotide ribosomal RNA is filed under the name uncultured bacterium. Its description in RNAcentral is "partial 16S ribosomal RNA". It matches the Rfam family "Bacterial small subunit ribosomal RNA", at positions 29 to 506 of the family's 1533-position model. The record is from RNAcentral.